RNAcentral lists this ribosomal RNA (386 nucleotides) under Lachnopodus bidentatus. RNAcentral describes it as "partial 12S ribosomal RNA". The record is from RNAcentral. Lineage: Eukaryota; Metazoa; Arthropoda; Malacostraca; Decapoda; Xanthidae.
UUAGAUACCCUAUUAUACUAAUAAUAACCUGGAUUAUUGUUAGAUAUUUACUUUAAAUUUAAAGAAUUUGGCGGUGAUUUAGUCUCGUUAGAGGAACCUGUUUUUGAAUCGAUAAACCACGUAAAAUCUCACUCAUUUUUGUGUAUCAGUUUAUAUACCGUCAUUAUCAGAUAAUUUUUAGAGAAAAUAAUUAUUAGGAUUUAAAAUAAAAAUAAACAAAAUUAGAUCAAGGUGUAGCUAAUAAAUGAGUUAAAAUGGGUUACAAUAAAAUUUAUUUAAACGGAGUAUAACACUAUAAAAUGUAGUGCAAGGAAGGAGGAUUUAAUUGUAAUAAGAGUUUAAUAUGCUUAAAAGAUAUAAGCUCUAAAUCAUGUACAUAUCGCCCG